AUACGUAGGGGGCGAGCGUUGUCCGGAAUGAUUGGGCGUAAAGGGCGCGUAGGCGGCCCGGUAAGUCUGGAGUGAAAGUCCUGUUUUUAAGAUGGGAAUUGCUUUGGAUACUGUCGGGCUUGAGUGCAGGAGAGGUAAGUGGAAUUCCCAGGGUAGCGGUGAAAUGCGUAGAGAUUGGGAGGAACACCAGUGGCGAAGGCGACUUACUGGACUGUAACUGACGCUGAGGCGCGAAAGUGUGGGGAGCAAACAGGAUUAGAUACCCUGGUAGUCCACACUGUAAACGAUGAAUGCUAGGUGUAGGGGGUAUCGACCCCUUCUGUGCCGCAGUCAACACAAUAAGCAUUCCGCCUGGGGAGUACGGCCGCAAGGUUGAAACUCAAAGGAAUUGGCGGGG
RNAcentral lists this ribosomal RNA (397 nucleotides) under uncultured bacterium. RNAcentral describes it as "partial 16S ribosomal RNA". It matches the Rfam family "Bacterial small subunit ribosomal RNA", at positions 523 to 918 of the family's 1533-position model. The record is from RNAcentral.